CUUGCCAUAAAGCACGUAUAGACGCUCUCUCAUCUUCACCUCUCGUUUGCAGCAAUAUUGCAGUUAAUAUUGGCUAAGAAACGAUGUUUGUAAUUGCUAGGUCUACAAUUUCCUUGUGUUUGUCAUUGAUUAACUUUGAUUUUUCUGUUAAGCAUAGUUGGAAACUCCGUGCGAAGUAAAAAAGUGUAAAUUUUUGACAGUAAAAUCUGUAGGGAAAACCUGGCUAUGAACCACGCAAAUAUUUUACUAGCCUGUACCUCACCAUCAAUGUGAAGCGAAAUUUAUGAGUUUACACUUCGAGCGAAGUCACUAAUGUGUGCAUGCGUGAAAAAAGUAAUCCAAAGUGAAAAAGAUUUUCGCCUUAUUUAGAACUUUAAACAGUUUUUUUUUUAUUCUCGCUUAUUUUCCGUCGGUCUAUUUCCGCCACUGUUGUGGCCAAUCACCGACGCCCAGGGAGGCGGCUCCACACCCAGGACCCUAACUCACGACCCGUUUAUUAACGGACCGGCGCCAACGGCUUUACUUCCUCAUGCGAUGGAAGGCGUGAUCCCAGAGAUUUUUCGCCUCAGAAAAUUCCCGGUGUCGGCUAGGAUUGAAUCUAAACCAGUUGGGUUGGUUGUGAGUGGAUCACGCCACCUCACAACCAUCGACACCCAUGUCGGCGGUGGGAUUCGAACCCAGGCGUCGAGCGUGGUUGGCGGAGACGUUACCAACGACACUUGGCCCCCGCUCAUAACUUUAAACAGUUCUCAAUUGUUAAAAUCAAAUUAUGGAACAAUAUAUGUAACUUUUACUGGUAUUGUACUAAUAAGGUAUUGGAUAUUAAUUUCAACGCAAUAUCCAUUCUUGCUAAAGAAAACUACGAACUGCUUGGCAACUCUGCCGUCAUCCGAAACCGCGGCGAACGAACGGUGAGCGAAGCCGCAGCUUGAGAUUCGAGUUUAAAGCAAAAUGUCGGGAAAACGUUGGUCGGAAGGAGAUUUUUUAAGUUUGUUCCAAAAAAAAGUUUUAUUGCUGAAGAUAAAACGCAAACCAUCGUUACAAUUUGUUCAUUGUGUAGUGAUUCUAAAACGUUUCGGUGUAAUGCUAAGUUUAAUUUGAAAAGGCAUAUAAUCACUAAGCACAAGGAAAAGGCCAUAGAGCUAAAUUUAUUGAAUGACGAUAAGAAAACUACUGCUGCAUCCAGUUCCAGAGAAGUUAAUUCGAGAAAAAGAAGUCGAUGGAUUACGGUUCCUCUUGAGCGAAAUGUUUACAUAACAAACAUCGUUCGAUGGUUGACUGAGUGCAACGUUCCACUGCAGUUUUUCUCCCACGAAUGUGUCAGUAACAUAUUGCGUCCGAUUGAAAAUGCUUUGAGACUGGGACACACUAACCGCCUUAAUAUACUACGAUACGCCAACGAAAUUCACAAUAAAGUCGUGGAAUACAUAUCAUCUCAGCUUCGCGAAAAAUUAAUCAGCAUAAGGGCGGAUAUCGCAUCCCGCAGGGGCAGGAGCAUAUUAGGAAUCAAUGUCCAGUUCAUUCAUCAAGGAAAAAUCGUCAUCUACACUCUUGCUAUGCAAGAAAGCACAGGGCGGAAUACUGCAGAGAGGAUUUUAGAUUAAAUUUUAAGUGUUCUGGACAGGUUUUCAAUCCUGAUUAAGCAAAUUUAUACAGUCACGACGGACAAUGGUCAAAAUUUCAUAAAAGCUUCCGGAUUGUUUCGAAACAAGCAAAUUGAAGAUACUUUGUAUGGUGACGACGAUUACAAAAUUGAUGAUGAAGAACUAGAGUUGGUCCUGGAAGAUCCAGAAUUCAUAGAUUACGCUGAGAACUAUGAAUUGACCAGUGAACACUCAUUUAACCAACAAUAGAUGCGCAGCGCACACAGCUCAGCUUUCUGUCUACGAUGUACUAAAAACCAAAUCACUGUCAAGGUUUCUUACUAACGCCAGAAAGCUCGUGAAGAUUAUGCGUUGUCAACCAUAUGUGAAUUCCUUCAAGCUGGACCAAUCUCGAAAUCUACCGUUUUUGGAUGGCGAUACGCGUUGGGAGUCCGCUUACUUAAUGAUCAAUCGGUUGCAAGAUGAAAAGGUUUUUAGAAUUAGCCUUCUACCGCCGCAACUAUUGAAGCCAUUCAACACAAAAUUUUGGCAACGAGUGGAUCAAUUCGUAUUGGCAGCCAAACCGGUGUAUAUACUAACUAAACGUAUUCAGGAGUAAACUUUGCUAUGUGGUUCCUUUUAUCUUUAUUGGCAAGAGUGCUGUCUUGAGUUGCAGGAAACUGGAGAUACAAUUUCGAAGCAGCUGCUCAAGGCAUUAAAUCACCGCAGACACAUGUGGAUGGAUAAUGCUGCAUUCCUGGCGGCUCUGUAUGUCGAUCCUCGCCUAACUGAUUUUGAACUGAUUUUGACCACGUGGUCUUUUCUGACUUAUAAUUUAUUGUUGCCACUUAGUCAAGAAUGAAGCUUUUGCAUUUUAGAAAUAUGAAUGUAGGUACUGAAAGUAUAACAAUAAAAAUGUUAAAAAAUUAAGCGAAUUUUCGGCACUUGACAAAUAAAAAGACCACGUGGUUAAAGUCGCAAGGGGGGAGGGGGGUUGGCCAAAAGACCACGAAAGACCACGGGGGGUACGGGGGGUAUAAAAAGUGAUCAAAAUAUGACGACGUGGUUUAGGAACGGCCCCCUUGCACACAGGUUUCAGUUGAACGAGAAUUCAAUGGACUCGGGCAAAUAUUGACCAAGUCCAGGAUGAAUCUCAGUAAGGAUAACUUAGAACAUGUACUUUUUCUCAAGUCAAACAGUAAUGUAGUGAAGGCACUUAUGUACGAUUAUGAUUUCUAAACUAUAUAUCGAUAAGUAAGCAAUAAAUCUUUGAAAGAUGAAGUUUAA
This is a long non-coding RNA of Wyeomyia smithii (pitcher-plant mosquito), 2870 nucleotides long. RefSeq lists it as uncharacterized. The transcript is spliced from 2 exons. The record is from RefSeq and is a predicted model, not a curated record. NCBI's taxonomy places the organism in Eukaryota, Metazoa, Arthropoda, Insecta, Diptera, Culicidae.